CGAGAAAGCCCGCAAGGGUGAGUAAAGCGGCGCACGGGUGCGUAACACGUGGGUAAUCUGCCCUAGAGUCUGGAAUAACUCGCCGAAAGGCGUGCUAAUGCCGGAUGAGACCACGGGAGCCUCGGCUCCUGCGGGAAAAGAUGGCCUCUGUACACAAGCUAUCGCUCUGGGAUGAGCCCGCGGCCCAUCAGCUAGUUGGCGGGGUAACGGCCCACCAAGGCAACGACGGGUAGCUGGUCUGAGAGGACGAUCAGCCACACUGGAACUGAGACACGGUCCAGACUCCUACGGGAGGCAGCAGUGGGGAAUCUUGCGCAAUGGGCGAAAGCCUGACGCAGCAACGCCGCGUGUGUGAUGAAGGUCUUCGGAUCGUAAAGCACUGUCGCGAGGGACG
RNAcentral lists this ribosomal RNA (394 nucleotides) under uncultured Anaeromyxobacter sp. RNAcentral describes it as "bacterial SSU rRNA". It matches the Rfam family "Bacterial small subunit ribosomal RNA", at positions 67 to 447 of the family's 1533-position model. Lineage: Bacteria; Pseudomonadati; Myxococcota; Myxococcia; Myxococcales; Anaeromyxobacteraceae. The record is from RNAcentral.